GCCACGGCUUUUGGUCUUAUUCAGCUAGCAUCGAACAGAGACACAGCUCCGACUCGACGAAUCCGUCGACAUCGGGGCAUAAUUUCGGCACAUAAGCCCCAUCGAGGCUUAUUUUAAUUCUUUGAGGAGCUCAUCCUCCCAAACACACUAUGCGUGCUAAGUGGAGAAAGAAGAGGAUGCGCAGGCUGAAACGGAAGAGGAGGAAGAUGAGGGCAAGGUCCAAGUAGAAAGGAUAUCUUUCCACCACCUUGCUGAGGUCAUCAAGAAAUUGCGAAAAUUCUCUUGGCCGCGAUACAUAAUUCUACCAUCUGAUUAUGUACUUCACUUUUUUUUUUAAUUAAAAGUCGCAUUCAAACCAACAGAAA
Molecule: long non-coding RNA, 365 nt
Organism: Cloeon dipterum
Lineage: Eukaryota; Metazoa; Arthropoda; Insecta; Ephemeroptera; Baetidae
Exons: 3
Source: RefSeq, a predicted model, not a curated record